Molecule: ribosomal RNA, 423 nt
Filed under: uncultured bacterium
Lineage: Bacteria
Description: partial 16S ribosomal RNA
Rfam family: Bacterial small subunit ribosomal RNA
Source: RNAcentral
AUUUUGGACAAUGGGGGAAACCCUGAUCCAGCCAUCCCGCGUGUGCGAUGAAGGCNUUNNGGUUGNANAGCACUUUUGUCAGGNNNNNAAAGGUUCUGGNUAAUACCCGGAACUGAUGACGGUACCUGAAGAAUAAGCACAGGCGAACUACGUGCCAGCAGCCGCGGUAAUACGUAGGGUGCAAGCGUUAAUCGGAAUUACUGGGCGUAAAGCGUGCGCAGGCGGUUCGGAAAGAAGGAUGUGAAAUCCCAGGGCUCAACCUUGGAACUGCAUUCUUAACUACCGAACUAGAGUAUGUCAGAGGGGGGUAGAAUUCCGCGUGUAGCAGUGAAAUGCGUAGAUAUGCGGAGGAAUACCGAUGGCGAAGGCAGCCCCCUGGGAUAAUACUGACGCUCAUGCACGAAAGCGUGGGUAGCAAACAGG